This is a long non-coding RNA of Equus caballus (horse), 8063 nucleotides long. The record is from Ensembl. Lineage: Eukaryota; Metazoa; Chordata; Mammalia; Perissodactyla; Equidae.
CAGAAACAGAAGGUUCCACAUUCUUCAGGCUCAAAGGGGGCUCCGGCGCUCGGGGGCAGAAGCGGAGAACUGGCCUGCCGAUCUUCCUCACGAGGAGGUGAGGGGGGAGGCGUGGGAACUCAGAGGCUGUGUGACAGAAGAGAGUGGCUCCCCUCUCCUCAGAGCCUCCCUCACCACAUUUAGCAGCGUCUGCAAGAAACGGAGGAAGGCGUCUGGGUUGGUGGGCUCCGUAGCCUUUGGCCUUCCCGCCCUGUCCAACGAGCAGGACCUGAAGCCAGGUGGCUGGAACGAGAGUGCCAGCGUCAGAAGAACUAAAGAUGCAUCUACCUCUGCCGUAAGCCCAGCAAUGAGGCCACGGAGAGGAGAGACUGGGCUGCAGGCGCACCUGACACCACUGAGCCAUGAGCCAAAUCGGGGCGACAACAAGAGGAUGUGGCACCAGGCCACCACUGGGGGACGUCGGAAAGAUGGGGUCCAGGCUCGCAAAGCUUAGAAAUUGCUGAGCUCCCAACAGACCCCUGGGGGCUUGUUGGGGUUUCCACUUCUCCACACCAAACCCACGGUCAACAUCUGCACCAGGCAAUGACCUCCUGAAAGAAAGCAAGCAAGCCCCUGUCCCAUCCCUCCAGCCAACCCCCGCCACCACCACCACACAGGGGAAAUGCACAGAGAGGGAGGGUGUGCGAGCAAACAGACCACGCCUUCCUCCUCUCCAAGCCUCGGCUCCAGGGACACGGCCAGGGCUGGGAGGAGGCAAGGAGCUCUGAAUGGACUCUGAAGUUGAAGUUGAAAUUGCAAAAUGAAUGAGAGUAAGUUCCAAUAACCAGGAGACUGUUGCAAUAAGCAGAAGUGAGUGCAAAAUUAUGGAACCCAAUUGAGAAGUUGCCAAGGGAACCUGCUGCCCAGGUCAUGGUCAACACAGCACAGCCAGUAGGCAUUACUAGAAAACAAAGUGGUUUUCGUGUUUAUUCUCCAAUAAAGUGAGACCUCCCAAUCUAAGCUCUAAAGCACCAACGGUGAGUUUAAGGCACAUCCAUCCUUGCCCGUAUGGGCCAAGAAUCAAGGCAGUGAGGGCCAUGGUUGGGUGCAGAGCCUCCAGUCAGUAAGAACCACUGUGAGACCUGGCACCGCUGCUAUCAGCGGUGUGGCCCCGGGCAAGCCCAAGACAGCUGUGCUUCCGUUUCCUCAUUCGUAAAGUGGAGAUGCUGCAGAGUUCUUGGGAGAAUUAUCUAAGAGAAGUGGUGUAAAGCAUUUAGCCCAUGUCUGGUAGACGGCUCAGGCCCGGCGCUCUCCUCUCACCUCCACAGUCUCCUUGGGAGACUGAACUUCUUUUCACCUCUUUCAACACCAUCGAUGGGCCCACAGCUCCCAGAGACGCAGCUCAACCCGGGUGGUCUUCCUGAGCCCACCUGCAGGCUUACAGACCCAGCGCUGACUUGACAGCUCCCUCAUGUGUCUCAUGGCAUCUCAAACAUGUCCAAAGCUUGAUCUUCUCUGGACACCUCCUAUCAAUGGAAUAGUGCAGACUGGCCUUCUGCGUCUGGCUCUUGUCGCUCAGGUGGUGUCUCCCAGGUUCGCCCCCUCUGCUGCGGUGUCAGUGUGUCCAGACUUCACUCCUGUUUAUUCUGUGCUCCCACUCUUGCCUCCGAUUUAUUUUCACAAAGAUGCCAAAGUAAUCUUUUAAAGGUGCAUUAUUCUCUUGUUUAGAACUUUUCAUCGACCGCCUCCUGUUCUCAGGAUAAAGCGCAGCCCUCCUGACACAGCCUUCCUGGGCCCGCACCACGGGGCCUCUCACAUCACUGCCCCGCCGUCUUGCUCACCGUCUCCCCCCAGCUCACUUUUCCAGCUGCCUGGCUCGCUCUCAGUUCUGUUGGAGCUUUGUCCUGUCACACGUUUCUUCGACCUGGGAUGCUCUCCUCCCAACUUUGCCUUCCUCAGAGCAACCUUCCUGACUCCUCCAUCUAAACUACGGUGCCCCACUUUUGCUCAGAGUGCCCUGUUAUUUUGCUUUCUAGCACACGUCACAAUGUGUAAUGAAGCAGGGAGUCUAUCUGUUUAAUAUCCUGCGGGGCUGUAAGUUCCACGACGUCAGGAACCAGCUCUCUCUUCUUACCAGUCUCAUCUGUGUCCAGCCCUGUGCCUACCACAGGGCAGUUGCUCAAAAAAUACUGAUGACUGAGUGAAUGAAUGAAUGGACUUUCCAGAGCGGAAACAGUAGGAAACGGUAACUCGACUGCUUCCACUAUUAAAGCGCCUAAUCUAAAAUUGCUCAGCCCGCCGAAGCCCUCAUUUACCCUUAUCAUCACCACUAUCAUCAACAGCGACUUCCUGCUGACCUAAUGGUGGCGGCAUUGUGGCAGCCUCAGAAAAAAUCACACUUUCUGGGUAAUUCCAGUUCUCCUACAAUUUUCACUCCAGGCAGCUGGAAGCUGGAGGCUAGCAGCCAGCCCCAUGAAGAAUGACUGCUGGGCAACAGAGACCAUGGGACAUGGGACGAUUUCCUGGCUCCUAUCCUUCUGUCGGCAAAGUCACCCUUACAGCAUGCUUCUCAAGCUUCCCUGUUCACAAUGCUCUUCAAAGGCAAAGACACCUCCCUCGCAGCUCCUGCUCACCAUGCUGACAGAAAUAGAGAAUUCAAGAGAAGGAUGGCCCUGCUUUAACUGAGACACCAAAUGAGGACCAUCAUGAGUAAUUACUAAUUCACACCAGCAACAAAAACCCAGCACUAACAUUCACCCUGCCAGAGAGCAGCCUUGCGGAACACCAGGGCACCUGGACCACACUUCGAGAACAUCUCUCUAAAAGGAUUUGGGAAUUUCCUGCUAACCUCCCUGACUUUAUUAUUGUGGUCCCAGAUGAAACCCAACCCAGUUAAGUUAGAAACAUUUUUAACCAAAAGCAGAGCCAUCCCUGCUAUGCGCAGCUCACGGCUCUGCAUUGCCGCUCCACUGUCCGGGCCUUUGGUGCCUCUGUCAGCUGGCACCAUCUUCUUCCUCCUUUGAUGUGGUUCCUCAUUUGAGCAUGUCUUGGUCUGAGUGCAUCUGGAGCUAACAAACUAGGUCCAUUAGUUCUAGUGCUCCAGGGCUUAAAAACGGAGGCCACAAGUGGGCUUUGAAAAGAAUAAGAGACCACAAAUAGAGCUGUUAACAUUCUUUACCCUGGCUCACCCCCGCAGAGGAGCCCCAAGAUCCGCAGAACAUUGGGUGAUACAUUCAGCUAGUCCAUGAACAAACAUUUGCUGAGCAUUACCAAGUGCCAGGCACUGGGCUGGGGACCCAGGAUACAAUGGUGGACAAGACAGAUACAGUCUUUGUCCUGCUGGAGUUUACAGCCUAGCUGGCAAUAAGUCAACCACUAUACUACUUAGUAAUUGCUAUGACGAGGGAGAUAAAGGAUCCUUGGGAGCUCAUAGGAGGGACCACGCAUCAAGACCUGGGGAGGAAAGUCAGAGAAGGCUGCUUUGUAGAAGCAGAGAGGUGAAGGAUAAGUAGAAAUAACAAAUAAAGUGAACAGGGUGGAGUAAAAAGUGCACAGAUAGAGGGAGUACAUAUGCAAGGGACCAGCAGUAAAAGAAUUUAAGGAACUAGAAUGAAGUUUAAGCUGGGUGGCGGGGAGAAGAGUUAGGAGAGAUGAUGCUGGAAAGAUAAGAAGCAGAUCUGGCAUGGUCUUGUAAGUUACUUCAAAGAGUUUGACAUUUAUUCUAAGGGUUUUGAGGAGCCAGAACAGGAUUUGAAAUAGGGGAGGGGGAAAUUUGCAUUUUCUAAAGAUCUCUUUGACUGUGUAGGGGAGGAGGACAUUUCCUCUCCCCAAAUGUGGGUUCGUCUGGCCGGAGAACAAAUUAAAGUCACAUGAGACAGAAUAGCAAGAGAAAAUUAAACAAAGCUUUAUGAGGACCAUGGCCCGGGGCCUUUCUUCCCGAAGGAAGAAAGGGCACCAAAGAAGUGGGGUGCACACAGUGGUUAUAUACCCCCAAACAGGGUGUUUCACAUGUGAUUGAAAUGUCCCUCCCGCAAUAGUCACAAGAUUGCCCCGUCAGCACAGUGCUUGAUGGACACAGCAGGUAGUGGGUCUGCUAUCUCCGUGGGCGUAGCAGGAGGCAAGUCUGUUGUCUGGAGCUGGGCAGUCACAGGUGAGCGCAGCAAUCAGUUCCUAGCCUAAGGAAAGAUGCUUAAUCUUUAAGGAGAUGCCAACGUUGGGAGGGGGAGGGAAGUCAGUUACAGGAGGUUACCAGACUAGCACAAUAAAAUGCAGAUUUAAGUCCUUGCCUUUGGUAUUGAUUAAGAGUUUCUAGAGAGAAGGUCAUCUUCUUCCUGGUACAGAGAGGGAGGCAACUUUUACAGAUAGAGAUUUACCUUACAAAUGUAAAUGUGUCCUAACAAAGGGCAAGUUCCAUUCCUCAGAGCCUCCUUCCCUGUCCCAGUUUAUCAAAAGCAAUCAGCCUCAAAUAAUCCUGAUGCCAAAGAGACAUAUCUUGGGGUGGCCAUUUCCAGGUCCCUACAACUGCAACACAAACAAUGUGUGAGAGGGGGCAAUAAUGGUGGUGCAGACCAGCUAGGGGCUCUUCCAAAAAGCCAAGUGGGUGAUAAUUAGUAAUUGACUCAACUAGGAUAAUGAAUGGUAAUGGGUACGGAGAAAAGAGGACAGAGUUAUUUUGGAGCAAGAAGACUUGGUGACGGGAAUGAGGGGGGGUUGGAGGAAAGAGGGAUCAUGAUGACACUCUGGCUCAAGCAAGUGAACAAUCAUGUAAUUUAUGGACAUUGACAAGCCCGAGGAGGAACAGGUUUGGAAGGAAGAUAAGUCCAGUUUUGCACAUGUUGGUUUGUAGGUGUCAGAAGGACAUUCACAGGUGGUUGUCAUGUACGUAGUUGAGUCUGGAGCUCAGGAGAGAAAUCUGGGUUCUAUCACCACAUUUGGAUGCCAAGAGCAUGUAUUUGCUUUCUGAAGCUCUGAUAGUUAAUAAUCCACUCAGGGAAAGCCCUUCCUGGUGCAGGAGCAAUUAAGCAGAGCCUGAAGGACAAGUAGGAUUAACAAGUGAAGUAAAAGGGUGGGAAGGAGAAGCAUGCAAGACGAAGGAGCAACGCAUUCCAAGGCCUCGAACACAGAAAAUUUGGGCAACUACCAUCGGUUCAGUAGAGUGAGAAGAGAAGAGGUCUCCAGGUCAGAACUCCUAGGAACACCAGCAUUUAAAGAGUGGGCAGAAGAAAAUUCUGGAAAGGAAACAGACUAACUAAGAAACGGGAGAAAAACAAAGUCAAAGAAAGCGAAUAAUUCAAGAGAACAGUCAAUAGAGAACAGCUGGUGCCAGGAGGCCACGUCCCAGUGCCUGGAACAGUGUUUCAUAAACAGCUGUUGCAUGAAAAUAAGUGAAUUGCAUGAAAAAAUAUGUCCACUGAAUUUAACAACAGAGCUCAUUAGUGACCUAGAAAAAUGACUUUGGCCAGGGUGGGAACCAGGUGUGGGGGGAUGAGGAAUAUAUGUGGGGAGAGGAAGUGAAUGUGGACAACCUCUCUAAGAGGUUGGGCUAAAAUCUCAAGUCCCUACUGAGCCCUAAGGUGGCCCCUGCAUACCCCUCUAACUUCAAACACAAGCUGACCUGGCAACAUCACCCCCUUACUCAGUGUGAUUCAGUCACAUGGUCCCACUUUCAGGUCCCCUUCCAAAGUCGGGAUCCUCACGCACACCGUUCCCUCUGCCUGGAGUUCAGUUUCCCCCCACCCCAGCCCAACCCCCACCCACCCAACUCCUCAUCCUGCGAGGCUCAGCUCAAAUGGCACAUCGUCAGUGAAGGCUCUUGACUCCCCAUCUUCUCCCCCAACUCCUCAUGAGGUCGGGUUCCAUUGUUACACUCUCUUGUUGCACACAGCACUGCCCUGGGUCACUUAACACAAGUGCAAUGAAUUAUUCGUGAGGCUAUUUAAGAUUAAUUUCCCCGAUCAACUAGACCAUAAGCUUCCCAACUAGGCUAUAAGCACCCUGAGGGCAGGAACUGAAUCCCAAGACCUAAAACAGUGACUGACACAUAGUAGGCACUCAACAAAUAUUGAAUGAGUAAAUCAAUGGAUGAGUAAGUAAAGCAGUAAAAUAGUAGUUUAAGGAGCUGAGAGACCAAGGAAGGACUUUUUUUUUAAAAAAAAGGAGCGACGAAAGUUUGUUAAAAUGUUCAUGUGAAGGGGCCGGUGGAGAGAGAAAGGAGAUAAUCAAGAAACUGAAAUAAAUAGCCCAGGAGGCUGAACAGGAUGACAGCAGGUUGUGCGAACAUCAUAGGUUGUACUGAAGGGGAACAAAAUUUACCACCCCAAAGUGUGUCUGUUUAACAUUAGCAUUAUUUUAGGCUAUUUUUAAGAAACAAAAGACUCAGAAAGUUUUUCUUGUUACCUCCUUCUUAACUGCCUAAAAGAAUUCAGCUGAAAAAACCAGCCUCGGGAAACAGGCUCUCACCUUAGCAUGACAUGAACUAGGUGGUAGACAGGGAGGAACCUAGAAAAGCCUGUUUGUGGGGCUCCCCUCUGUGUUCUUGUGUUUCUUUGUGGCCAAACACUUGUUUUCCAAAGUUUGCUCCUUUUCACCUACCUGUGAAUUGUCUCCCUUCCCUUUGAAGUCUCUGACUCUCCCCACCCCCAACACCUUCUUUUAUCUUCAGCUGUGGAUGACAUUUAAGGGGAGGGCUUCCACCAUCUUGGUGAGUUACUCAGUUUUCCUGGGUUUCUCUGAUGUAUACAUGUUGUUAAACUUUUGUUUGUUUUUUGCCUGUUAAUCUGUCCCAUGACAAUUUAAUUCUUAGAUCAGCCAGAAGAAUCUAGAAGAGUAGAGGAAAAUUUCUUCCUCCUCUACAGCACUUACACAAACCUGGGUGGUACAGCCACUGCACACCUAGGCUCCAUGGUGCUAAUCUUUCAGACCACCAUCGUAUGUGCAGUCCGUUGUUGACCAAAAGGCCGUUAUGCAGCACAUGACUGUAUUUCUAAUUCCUGAUUAUUCUGUUCUAGGCGUUAUAUAUGUAUGGACUUCCCACCACAGAAGAUGAGGAUUUAGUUCUUUUUUGCCAAGUGCCUUUGCCCCUACCACACACACAAGCCCUCUUCCUGUCCCCAAUUCUUUAAGUUAUUGCACCAUCGUUUUAGAUAGAUUCGUAUCCUGCCUUUAUAUCCAUGACUAAGUAAAUGCUAGUUGCAGAUGAGCCAUGGACCAUCCUGUGAUUACUUUUCCUUGCCUGCACACAUUUUUUGUUUUGUCUGAAGUCAAUAGCUACCUUAUUUUGCUUUCUCAAGGCUAUAACAUUGUCACCACUAAUUCAACUCCAAGUUCUCCUCCUCUAGGUAUAUCUGCAUACAAUGGAGACACCCUCUGUUUCACCCCAUUGAAUAAAUCCUCCUGACCUGCUCCAGGUUGCCCUUGAUUCCAGGUGCAGAGCUGUCACCGUGGUCCUGGUGCUUCCCUUCUCCCCUCUCCCCUGUUGAGUCUUCUGUUUCCAGUCCCCCGUGUCUUCCUCCUUCUUGCUUGACACUCUCAGUUUGCAGGAGUGUAUCCUCCAGUAGCUUCCUGAGAAAGGGUGCGUGUGAAGUAAAAUGAUUGAGACCCUAUGUGACUGACAUGUCAUUCACACAUGACCAGAGGAGAAGAAAAUACAUACACUCAAUCCUCUCCAUAGAGGCAAAAACACAUUUAUAAAAUUCAACAUAAAUUCACAAUUUAAAAAGAAACUCUUAUUGAAUAAUUAUUCACAAUAGCCAAAAUGUGGAAACAACCCAAGUGGCCAUUAACAGUUGAAUGGAUUAACAAAAUGGGGUGUAUCUAUGUGAUGGAAUAUUAUUCAUCCAUAAAAAGGGGUGAAAUUCUGAUAUGUGCUACAACAUGAAUGAAUGUUGAAAACAUGCUCCAGGAAGAGAAUCCAGAAACAAAAGAACAAAUAAUGUAUGAGUCCACUUACAUUAAGUAUCUGGAAUAGGCAGAUUUAUAGAGACAGAAAGUGCUUUAGCGGUUACCAGGGCCUGGGGGGAAAGGGGAAUGGGGUGUUAUUUCUUCAUGUUUGCAGAGUUUCUUUUUGGGGUGAUGGAAAAGUUUUG